Molecule: ribosomal RNA, 651 nt
Filed under: Triticum aestivum (bread wheat)
Lineage: Eukaryota; Viridiplantae; Streptophyta; Magnoliopsida; Poales; Poaceae
Description: partial small subunit ribosomal RNA
Source: RNAcentral
AUGAAGACGCAUGUGCAGCAAUAUGUGCGGUGUUGUCAGGUGUGUCAGCAGGCCAAGCCAGACCACACUGCGUCACCAGGUCUGCUAAUUCCACUGCCAAUUCCUAAAGAAUCAUGGGAUCUCAUCACCAUGGACUUCGUGGACGGGUUGCCACAAUUGGGUCAACACAACUGCUUGUUGGUGGUGGUCGACAAAAGGACUCGGUUUGCUCACUUCCUCCCUGUUGCGCAUCCGUAUACAGCAUCCAAAGUGACCAACAUCUACAUGCAACAACUGUACAAGCUGCACGGCUUCCCGAGAGCUAUCGUAUCUGACCGCGACCCAGUCUUCACCAGCCACUUUUGGCAGGAGCUGUUCAAGUAUGCAGGUACGGAAUUGCGCAUGAGCACAGCGAACCAUCCACAGACUGACGGCCAAACCGAGCGAGUCAACCAAUGCAUUGAGACGUACCUCCGUUGCUUUGUUCAAGCAUGCCCGAAGCGCUGGAAUUUUUGGGUACCUCUGGCGCAGUUCUGGUACAAUUCAUCCCACCACUCAGCCAUCGGGAUGACACCAUUCAAGGCCAUGUUUGGAAGAGAACCAAGGCACUGGGGGAUCACUGCAUCUACAUCAUCGUCAGUGCCAGCACUGCAAACCUGGCUUGAAGAGUGA